UCCCCCCCCCACCCCCUACUUGUGGUGUACCUCCGCCCAUUUCUUUAAUUUUCCUCCCCCGCGAGCAUACUAUCCCCAGAGCUCCGAACUCUAAGAUCCUCUCCCUGUCAACUGUUGCCAGUCCACAUGUCGGCAUCUUUUACUGCUGGAACUACUGCGGCAUCUAAUCACUUUCGAUCCUCCAGCCUUCGUCCUUGAUCAUCAAACACCCCCAAGAACAUCGCUUUCGCCUCGCUCAGCCCACCAGGGGUCUAGGCAUUUCAUCUCUCGCCCUGGUAUACUAUGUUCCCCAUUGGCUCCUCCAUCAUAUCUAUCUGGCACAAGCGCCCCAAUUUACACUUCUAAGACUACGGACUUUUUAACCGCCGCAUCCCUCAUACACCCUCUUGGAGUCGGUAUUACCGCGGCUGCUGGCACCAAACUUGCCCUCCAAUUCUCCCGGU
Molecule: ribosomal RNA, 443 nt
Filed under: cf. Cystosporogenes sp. HEM-2006H
Lineage: Eukaryota; Fungi; Microsporidia; Glugeidae
Description: partial 16S ribosomal RNA
Source: RNAcentral